GUGGGGAAUCUUGCGCAAUGGGCGAAAGCCUGACGCAGCAACGCCGCGUGCGGGAUGAAGGCCUUCGGGUUGUAAACCGCUUUCAGCAGGGACGAAAAUGACGGUACCUGCAGAAGAAGCUCCGGCUAACUACGUGCCAGCAGCCGCGGUAAUACGUAGGGAGCAAGCGUUGUCCGGAUUUAUUGGGCGUAAAGAGCUCGUAGGCGGUUUCGUAAGUCGAGUGUGAAAAAUCUGGGCUUAACCCAGUGGAGCACUCGAUACUGCGAUGACUUGAGUCUGGUAGAGGAGUGUGGAAUUCCUGGUGUAGCGGUGAAAUGCGCAGAUAUCAGGAGGAACACCAACGGCGAAGGCAGCACUCUGGGCCAGUACUGACGCUGAGGAGCGAAAGCGUGGGGAGCAAACAGGAUUAGAUACCCUUGUAGUCC
Molecule: ribosomal RNA, 425 nt
Filed under: uncultured bacterium
Lineage: Bacteria
Description: partial 16S ribosomal RNA
Rfam family: Bacterial small subunit ribosomal RNA
Source: RNAcentral